This 195-nucleotide ribosomal RNA is filed under the name Triticum aestivum (bread wheat). Its description in RNAcentral is "partial small subunit ribosomal RNA". The record is from RNAcentral. Lineage: Eukaryota; Viridiplantae; Streptophyta; Magnoliopsida; Poales; Poaceae.
CUGCUUCUACUUUCUAUAUGGAGCUGGGAGCAUCUGCCUGUUGGACGCCCGAAGAGCGUCAAGUUUAAUCCUUGGGAUGAAGAUGACGAAUUACGGCACCCCACUUGGGCUUACAAGUGGGAUGUGGUAUCCGAGAUGACGAAUGAUGUCAAUCUCAUGUACCAAAAGUACAUUGCCGAACACGAUUACGCCUGA